CCCAGAGAAUGAAGCUUUUCAGGGAGUUGCCUGACAGGUCAUAAAGGAAGAGGGCAACGUUAUCAUCUGACUGCUUGUAGCUGUGGAAGGGCGGCGUAGAAGAGGAAAGGCUGGGGGUUUCGGAUGGUUGUUUUUGAAGCCAUCAGUAUUCUUGAAGAAGCAGCAUAUCUUGAACUGUCCUAUGGGUGAAGGCUUUGAUGUGGUCCUGUAAAAACUGGGAAGAUUUGGAGGAUCAUCUGAAUACCCAUCCAACAGAGAUCCAUGAUUCAUGUAUUUCUCAAGACAGCCAUACACUAAAAUUAUAAGAUCAUAAGAAUAUUAAUUAUAUUCUACCAAUGCAAUACAAGCAUUGAAAUGGAUGGCAUCUGAUCCUGCUUCAUGUGAUUCUUCAUUUAGCUCUGGACUCUUUACAUCAUUAAGGUACCCUGAAUAUAUUCAGUAUGACGGAGUCUCGCUCUGUCACCCAAGCUGGAGUGCAGUGGCACGAUCUCGGCUCACUGCAACCUCCGCAUCCCGGGUUCACACCAUUCUCCUGCCUCAUCCUUCUGAGUAGCUGGGACUACAGGCGCCCGCCACCACGACCGGCUAAUUUUUUGUAUUUUUAGUAGAAACGGAGUUUCACCGUGUUAGCCAGGAUGGUCUCGAUCGCCUGACCUCGUGAUCCACCCGUCUCGGCCUCCCAAAGUGGUGGGAUUACAAGCGUGAGCCACUUCGCCCGGCCAUAGUGUG
This 729-nucleotide long non-coding RNA is filed under the name Homo sapiens (human). RNAcentral's name for it is "HSALNT0325857". Lineage: Eukaryota; Metazoa; Chordata; Mammalia; Primates; Hominidae. The record is from RNAcentral.